RNAcentral lists this ribosomal RNA (497 nucleotides) under uncultured bacterium. Its description in RNAcentral is "partial 16S ribosomal RNA". It matches the Rfam family "Bacterial small subunit ribosomal RNA", at positions 28 to 507 of the family's 1533-position model. The record is from RNAcentral.
GAUGAACGCUGGCGGCGUGCCUAAUACAUGCAAGUCGAGCGAACGGACGAGAAGCUUGCUUCUCUGAUGUUAGCGGCGGACGGGUGAGUAACACGUGGAUAACCUACCUAUAAGACUGGGAUAACUUCGGGAAACCGGAGCUAAUACCGGAUAAUAUUUUGAACCGCAUGGUUCAAAAGUGAAAGACGGUCUUGCUGUCACUUAUAGAUGGAUCCGCGCUGCAUUAGCUAGUUGGUAAGGUAACGGCUUACCAAGGCAACGAUGCAUAGCCGACCUGAGAGAGUGGUCGGCCACACUGGAACUGAGACACGGUCCAGACUCCUACGGGAGGCAGCAGUAGGGAAUCUUCCGCAAUGGGCGAAAGCCUGACGGAGCAACGCCGCGUGAGUGAUGAAGGUCUUCGGAUCGUAAAACUCUGUUAUUAGGGAAGAACAUAUGUGUAAGUAACUGUGCACAUCUUGACGGUACCUAAUCAGAAAGCCACGGCUAACUACGUG